AUUGAACGCUGGCGGCAUGCUUUACACAUGCAAGUCGAGCGGCAGCGCGGGGGCAACCCUGGCGGCGAGCGGCGAACGGGUGAGUAAUGCAUCGGAACGUACCCUGGAGUGGGGGGAUAACGCCGCGAAAGCGGCGCUAAUACCGCAUAUGCUCUGAGGAGGAAAGUGGGGGACCGCAAGGCCUCACGCUCUGGGAGCGGCCGAUGUCCGAUUAGCUAGUUGGUGGGGUAAAGGCUUACCAAGGCGACGAUCGGUAGCUGGUCUGAGAGGAUGAUCAGCCACACUGGGACUGAGACACGGCCCAGACUCCUACGGGAGGCAGCAGUGGGGAAUUUUGGACAAUGGGCGCAAGCCUGAUCCAGCCAUUCCGCGUGCAGGAUGAAGGCCUCGGGUUGUAAACUGCUUUGUACGGUAACGAAACGGUACGUGCCCUAAUACGGCGGGCGUAAUGACGGUACCGUAAGAA
RNAcentral lists this ribosomal RNA (466 nucleotides) under uncultured bacterium. Its description in RNAcentral is "bacterial SSU rRNA". It matches the Rfam family "Bacterial small subunit ribosomal RNA", at positions 29 to 487 of the family's 1533-position model. The record is from RNAcentral.